GACGAACGCUGGCGGCGUGCUUAACACAUGCAAGUCGAACGGAAAGGCCCUGCUUUUGUGGGGUGCUCGAGUGGCGAACGGGUGAGUAACACGUGAGUAACCUGCCCUUGACUUUGGGAUAACUUCAGGAAACUGGGGCUAAUACCGGAUAGGAGCUCCUGCUGCAUGGUGGGGGUUGGAAAGUUUCGGCGGUUGGGGAUGGACUCGCGGCUUAUCCGCUUGUUGGUGGGGUAGUGGCUUACCAAGGCUUUGACGGGUAGCCGGCCUGAGAGGGUGACCGGCCACAUUGGGACUGAGAGACGGCCCAGACUCCUACGGGAGGCAGCAGGGGGGAAUAUUGCACAAUGGGCGGAAGCCUGAUGCAGCAACGCCGCGUGCGGGAUGACGGCCUUCGGGUUGUAAACCGCUGUCGCCUGUGACGAAGCGUGAGUGACGGUAAUGGGUAAAGAAGCACCGGCUAACUACGUG
This 468-nucleotide ribosomal RNA is filed under the name uncultured bacterium. RNAcentral describes it as "partial 16S ribosomal RNA". It matches the Rfam family "Bacterial small subunit ribosomal RNA", at positions 28 to 507 of the family's 1533-position model. The record is from RNAcentral.